UACGGAGGGUGCAAGCGUUAUCCGGAUUUACUGGGUUUAAAGGGUGUGUAGGCGGGCUUUUAAGUCAGCGGUGAAAUCUCCGGGCUCAACCCGGAAACUGCCAUUGAUACUAUUAGUCUUGAAUUCUGUUGAGGUAGGCGGAAUAAGUCAUGUAGCGGUGAAAUGCAUAGAUAUGACUUAGAACACCAAUUGCGAAGGCAGCUUGCUAAACAGAUAUUGACGCUGAGCACGAAAGCGUGGGGAUCAAACAGG
This 252-nucleotide ribosomal RNA is filed under the name uncultured bacterium. Its description in RNAcentral is "partial 16S ribosomal RNA". It matches the Rfam family "Bacterial small subunit ribosomal RNA", at positions 524 to 776 of the family's 1533-position model. The record is from RNAcentral.